RNAcentral lists this long non-coding RNA (743 nucleotides) under Jatropha curcas. Its description in RNAcentral is "long non-coding RNA (JCUR_LNC002174)". Lineage: Eukaryota; Viridiplantae; Streptophyta; Magnoliopsida; Malpighiales; Euphorbiaceae. The record is from RNAcentral.
UUUCAAAAUGUUAAAAUAAAUGUUAAUCUUUAUAUUAAUUUAAUUAAGUCUCCAUUUGUUUUUAGAAAAUAAUUUAUUUUUAAAAAAUAUUUUUUAAAUGAUUUAUUUGAUUAUAAUAUUGAAAAUCAAUUAAAAAUUACUUUCUAAUUUAUCCCUUUUAUGACUCUCGGAUGUUCUCUUAUACUACACAAUGGCUUUUUCUUUCGGUUGAUUUGAUAUUCUAAAUUGCCUUUUCUUUUAGUUUUACAUUACAUUGUUGUUGGUUUUCUUUUUCUAUUUUAAAUAUGUUAUAUAUUUUAAAUAUAUUGUAUCUAAACAUAGAUUUUAUUUUGUAGGAUAUAAUGUCAACAUUUUGAGAGUAUAGAUUGUGAAGAUGGUAGCAAAAAUGAGACAAAUAUGUCUAUGCCUUCUGCAAAUAUGUUUUUGUUGUAGUGUUAUUUUUUACUUUUUACUUCAGUAAUUUUUUUUAUUGACAUACUUUUUAUUAUGUUUUAUAUUCAUUUAGUUCUCAUUCUAUGAUAAUUUGUUAUAAUUUAGUAUUAUUAUAUUUUAAUUAGUUUUUAGUUUGUGGUUGAUAUUAUGGAUAUUGAAUUUUAAUAGAUGUUUGAUUGUCAAAUUCUUUGAUUGAGAAUUGAGAUAUUUGUUUGAAUUUCAAUUCUUUUGUUCUAUUUUAAUAUUUUGAUUGAUCGAGAAUAUUACAGGUUAAUUUGUUUUAUUAUUUUGAAUAUUACAUAUUAAGUUGU